UCCGAGUUGACCCCGGCAGUCUCCCAUGAGUCCCCACCAUAACGUGCUGGCAACAUAGGAUGAGGGUUGCGCUCGUUGCGGGACUUAACCCAACAUCUCACGACACGAGCUGGCGACAACCAUGCACCACCUGUCUUCCUGCCCCGAAAGGCUUCCUCGAUUAAGAGUAAUUCAGGAGACGUCAAGUCUAGGUAAGGUUCUUCGCGUUGCUUCGAAUUAAACCACAUGCUCCGCUGCUUGUGCGGGCCCCCGUCAAUUCCUUUGAGUUUUAAUCUUGCGACCGUACUCCCCAGGCGGAAUACUUAAUGCGUUAGCGGCGGCACGGAGGUCAUGACAACCCCCACACCUAGUAUUCAUCGUUUACGGCGUGGACUAC
This 376-nucleotide unclassified non-coding RNA is filed under the name uncultured Eubacteriales bacterium. Its description in RNAcentral is "contains 16S-23S intergenic spacer region". The record is from RNAcentral. Lineage: Bacteria; Bacillati; Bacillota; Clostridia; Eubacteriales.